This 535-nucleotide ribosomal RNA is filed under the name bacterium T-2-0-5H. Its description in RNAcentral is "bacterial SSU rRNA". It matches the Rfam family "Bacterial small subunit ribosomal RNA", at positions 370 to 896 of the family's 1533-position model. The record is from RNAcentral.
AAUGGGGGGAACCCUGAUCCAGCCAUGCCGCGUGUGUGAAGAAGGCCUUUUGGUUGUAAAGCACUUUAAGCGAGGAGGAGGAGCUCUUGGUUAAUACCCAAGAUGCUUGGACGUUACUCGCAGAAUAAGCACCGGCUAACUCUGUGCCAGCAGCCGCGGUAAUACAGAGGGUGCAAGCGUUAAUCGGAUUUACUGGGCGUAAAGCGCGCGUAGGUGGCCAAUUAAGUCAAAUGUGAAAUCCCCGAGCUUAACUUGGGAAUUGCAUUCGAUACUGGUUGGCUAGAGUAUGGGAGAGGAUGGUAGAAUUCCAGGUGUAGCGGUGAAAUGCGUAGAGAUCUGGAGGAAUACCGAUGGCGAAGGCAGCCAUCUGGCCUAAUACUGACACUGAGGUGCGAAAGCAUGGGGAGCAAACAGGAUUAGAUACCCUGGUAGUCCAUGCCGUAAACGAUGUCUACUAGCCGUUGGGGCCUUUGAGGCUUUAGUGGCGCAGCUAACGCGAUAAGUAGACCGCCUGGGGAGUACNGUCGCAAGACUA